This 18401-nucleotide long non-coding RNA is filed under the name Fragaria vesca (wild strawberry). RNAcentral's name for it is "long non-coding RNA (FVES_LNC002709)". The record is from RNAcentral. Lineage: Eukaryota; Viridiplantae; Streptophyta; Magnoliopsida; Rosales; Rosaceae.
AUCUGCCUCAUCGGAACUAUCUCCUUCUCCUCUCUCUGCACAGACCUGAUCCCAAUCUCCAUCGACGGCGGCCGAGGCGCCACGACGGCGACCAGCGUCGGGAUCAGCACCGGCACGGACGGCGAAGAAGUCUCGGUCUGGCUGAAGAUGUAGACCUUGUUGUUCCCGAUGCCGUGGAAUUUGCCUCCUUCUUCUUCGAAUUCCUUCUCGAGAUUCGAGAAAUCCCAGUCGUAUUGGUAGAGCGAGUCCAAGCGAUCCCACUCGGUGCCGACCGGGAACGCCGCCUUCCAUAGAUCUUGAAGGUUUCGCUGCUCCUCCACGUACUCCGGUUCCGGCUGCGGCUGCGGCUGAGAGGCCUUGACGCGCUUGGCGCGUGUGGCGGUGGCUUUGGGCUUGGGCUUGGCCUCCGUCGCCGCCAGGCGAGCCUUUCGCUUGGCUCCUUUCCUCAUUCUAGGGUUUGAAAUUUCGGACAGAGAGAACGGCUAUGGAGAUUUGGGGGUUUGGUGAAGAAGGUGUGUGUUUGUUUUGGUUUUUGGUAAUAACCCUACAAAUUCAAACGCGGAGUCAGAAUUGGGCGUGAUAACGAAGCGAAAACUAUAUAUAAAUGAUAUUUAAUUUUGGUCGAAAACAAUCGGUAAUUGGUUUUUAAUUUUAAAGAAAAUUUAAGAAAAUUGAGAGAUGCCUUUUCGGUUUCGCACCUAGAUUUCAAAAUUGAAAUUUUUCGAAUUUUGGUGUUUAGUGAGGCGAAGUGUUUGCAACCACCACCGAUGUUACGUAGUCAAAUUAUCUAUGAGGCGAUAACUUUGAUAACUUUUACGACGGUUUUGGUUGGAGUCUAUCGAUGUUUCUUGAUUUGUCGGUGAUUCAAAACUUGUUUUGAAAUGCGAGUCUGUGACAAUGUAUUUAUAGGAUACGACUUCUUAAUUGAUUAGAGUUAGGAAACUGUUUCCUUACAGGACUAUAACAUGUUACAUAGUUUCCUAAUGAAAAAACAAAGAGAUUAGAGUGAAGUCGUUUUAAAUUUGACAAAUCCUAAUUAGAUUAGAGUUAUUCAACAUGUAGUCGGUUGUGCAUAAAACAACCUCUCAAGCCCAUAAACUAGUAAGCAUCCCACCAUGGUCAAGACAAUCGAGGCCGCCUUAGGGUUCCCAUCCAUGAGUAGGAUGGGCCGGGUCCGACCUCGGUGGCAGCAUUGGGCCGAGAAUGGUCUUAGAAGGCAUAAGGGAGCUGGGUGUUUGAGGUAACAGCAAAGGCAGUUGUCCCACAUCGGUUUUCAAGUAGAAGAGAACCCACUAUGGGCCAUAAAUAUGGCCCAGCCACCAGUUUGUCAGGUAUCAUUAAUUACCCUAGUAAUUACAUUCAAUAAGUAGAUUCUGACUUAAUCAUCGGAGGAGGAAAGACCGGAGGCCCCCGGUCGUCCUUGUACUUGCAGGUCAGCGAGUGAAUAGUUUAUCAUCCUACGGACACACCAUCAGCUUCUGCAACCCCAUCUGGGAUUAUACAAAAACAUUUGGCGUUGUCUGUGGCAAAAGCAACACAAACACAGAGAAAGCCAAAGCAGAGGCAAGAGCAGAAACAAGCAUAGGUGCAGCAGAACAAAAGCAGCACAAAAGCUUACCAGUUUUUCGACGUAAUAGCAACGCCGGCAACUCAGAGGACCGGAAACACCUCGCAAUCGUAGGGGUCGGCGGCGGCACAAACAAAAGGGCACGAAACGGCCGAGAAAACCAGAGAAGCCAGAUAAGAGAGUGAAAGAGAAGCCAGAGAAGAGAGUGAAAGCGUGACUGAAGAUGAGAGCUAGUGAGUAAGAAGACAAAACGAAAAAGGGGGGGGGAAUGAGUUUAUACUCAGAAAGUGGGGAGUCGCCUCGAUCCACGAACCGACGCAUUAAAAAUCAAUUAACUGUUAACGAGGAACCCCUAUCUGUCGGAUGAAACCGCAGGAUGACGCCACGUGGCUCAAACCUUCUUACCUUCUCGAAGAAGGAAAGAAUGAAGCGACGGGCAUUAAUUACUCGUCAGUCAUCCCCAAGAAUAUGGCGACAUCUGGCGGACAUGCAUUUAAUGCACCUCCCACAGUAACGCACAAACCCCAAGUGAAACACCCAUCCCGGAUAAGUGUCACCGGGAAGAAGCAUACAACAACUGCUUCUCGAAAUUGUAAGUCCCAGAUAAGUGUCACCGGGAGGAAGCAUACAACAACUGCUUCUGCAAAUUGUAAGUUCCGGAUAAGUGUCCCCGAGAGGCCGGGGCAGGGCAAUUUAUAUCAUCCCUUUAAAAACAGAGUAAGUGGUUUGAUAAACCACAGACGACGUUAACACCCCGUCACUCGAGUAGUAACACCGGAUAUGGAAAUGGCUCGCUACCUUUGUCCAUGAAAAAUAUAACACCCGUUCAACCCACGUCAUGAGUACGAACUUGGGGGACUAUGUGUGAGACCCCGUAAAAUAGCUAUAUGAAAUGAAGUCCUGAUAAACUUUAGUAGACGGUUUUUAUUUCGGACAUACUAAUGUUGUUAGAGUAUUGUAUUGUACUCAAAAAUUUUGAGUUUGAUAUUGGGUUCUAUGGAGAAGGCUUGGAAAAGCCCAACCCAGUUUGGUUAGAAAUUUAGUAAGAGUUAAAUUGAGGAACUUGUCUAGAACUUGAUCAAACCUUCUUGCAUCUGCUCUGUCUCUCCCGUUCUUAUCCUCUCUUCGUCUCUGCUGGUCUCUCUGAUGGAUAGUAACAUCCCCAACUAAUCAUCAUCAAGUCGACAAGGCUACUGCUCUCCGAUCUAACUUUGAAGCUAAUCUUAUAAGCUCGACGGCGACGGAGAUGAGUGAAUGUGUUACACGCAUCGUCAACAAGUUGAGUUAUAGAAAUCUGCAGCGUGGUCUUCAUCCUCUUUCUAUUGUCCUUGUGAGGUAAAAACUGAGACCAUCCUCUUUCUAUUUUGGAUUUGAUUUUAAGAGAUUGGUUUGACCAUCCUUUAAAAGAAAAAUUGGUUUCCAGUGACAAUUGAAACUCGUGUUGAAUUUGGGUUCUGAUUGUUGUUGACGAUUUAGUUGUUGGUGACGACGAUGCUGGAGUCGAUAAUAUCUAUCCCAUGUUUGUUGGUUUUGACACGAGACCAGACCUCUUGAUUUUGAUUAUGGCUUUAGUUUUUUGGUUACGACAGGAACUGGAAAUUAAAUUGGGUGAUGAGUUCGUUGGCUAGAGAGGCAAGAUAAGGACGUUCCAAUAAGUUGGAAGAGUGAAUAAUUGGGAGUGUGAGACGAGAAAGGAAACUGAUAUGAAUGAACCAAAUAUGGGUAAGAUUCUUUCUCUAGAGUUCAGUUUGUCCUUACUUUAUAUUUUCAGCAGUGAAUUAGUGAUGAUUGGUGUUGCCAGUUUAUGAAAACAGAGAAGAUGGCUUACUGUUGAUGCAUGUAGACAAUGUCGCAACAUGAAGGAAUGACCUUGUGAUUUAAUAAUCUACAAGGUAAGGUAGCCAAUUACUUUGGACCAUUAUUGAUUGAUUUCAUUAUAUAUGUUGGUCAAAUCUCAAAACGAAAUUGAGCUGCUGAAAGUGUACUAUGUGUUGUGGUUUUGACCAUUUGAUAAGAUGCUUACACUGGUUCUAAAUUUGGUACAAUUGAAUGGUGGAAUUGAUAUCUCAAUUGGAAAGAAAGAUGUAUACUGCCUCGUUGCUAUUAAAGGAACCUAGUACCGUAUUUGUUCAGUUGGGAUUAAAGUAGUAAAGCCCUUUUGUUGUUAGUAUUGAGCUUGAAAAAAAUGCUUAAUUAUGGAAUAAGAAACUGAUAUUGAAUUUGUCGGACAGAGCUCAGUUACCCGAGUUUUCGAGUAUGGUGGUGUUUGCCGGAUGUUAUGGAGUAAAGGUUCAACUUCAGGAAUACCAGGUAGGGGAUUCUAGACUCUUCUUGGCUAGUGGUUUUUCGUAUAUUAUUUUCGUCGGCUAAAGUAUAGUAUAGCCGACGAAAUUUUUUUUCGUCGGCUACAGUUGACCAUAGCUGACGAAAAUUUAAAGUAGCCGACGAAGGAAAAUUUUGUCGGCUAACGUGGACUUUAGCCGACGAAAAAAUAAUUCGUCGGCCUGGUUUUUUUAUUUUUGUCAGCUAAAGUCUUUCUUCUGGUAGUGUGCGUCUUGUUCUUCAUCAAUGUUUCAUCUGCUCUAGAAUCCGAGAAGGCCACAUUGACUCCUAAUGGAGGCAUUCAUUGGUAGCCUACCUAGAAUAGCCUAGCUGGUGUUUGUAUAUAACAACAAUGAUCUUAUAUCAAUCACAGCCAUGCGAUCAUUUUUCAAUUUCAUCGGCUAUACUAUACUAUACUUUAGCUGAUGAAAUUUUUACUCGUCGGCUAAAUUUCGUCGGCUAUACUAUACUAUACUAUACUUUAGCUGACGAAAUUUUUACUCGUCGGCUAAAGUAUUUUAGUAGACGAAAAAAAUCUCGUUGACUAUUAUUUCGUCAACUAAAAGAAAAACAAUAAAAUGUUAUAUAACUUGUUUAGUAGGUUAUAUAACUUUGUGAACCAACUCUACAUAGGAAGCAAAAUUAUCAAAAAUCUCGUGAAAUAAGAUGUGUUCAGAAUGGUGAAAUACAGCUAUGGUUCAAAAAUCACGUAAACCGGGUAACGUCUCGGUGCCGAUAGUAGCGGUCAACCCUAUUUACCGUUAUUAUUCCCUAUAUGGAGCCCUAUCGUCGGAAGGUAAAUAUCUCAAAAUUUUUAUAUAGGCGGUUGCGUCUCAUCUACGUGAAAGUUUUUCGUGUGGAAGGUUUGACCAAACUACGUAAUAUAGAGGGAAAUAUGAGCGUUUUCGUGAAUUUAUAGACUUUAGCCGACGAGAUAUUAAAAAAGUCGUCGGCUAAGGUCAAAAUUUUUUUGGCGGCAAACCAAAUAUGGGGGAAAAUUUUCAAAAGACUUAAACCGACGAAAAUAUAUGAUUUCGUCGGCUAUUGUCAAGGGAAUGGUUCACAAUUUGGAGAAGAAAACUGAGAAAUCAUACAUAGCUAGUUUCUAAACCCAGAAAAAUCAUAUCAAUCAUAAAUGAUAUGGUUUUUUUUUUUUUUUUCCUAACAAACAUAUAGUCGGUCCCAUACAAAUGAAAUCCUAAGGUGGAAUUCUACCACUUUAAGGUAAUUAUAUACAUCUUGACCAAAAAAAGGUAAUUAUAUACAUGUCAGACUUUUGUAAUCGCUACAAACUUUUCACAUUCUGAUAAAUUCAUGUACAUCUUAAUUAAUAAUAUAGAGAGGUACCUACCAUUUACAAACAAACUACAAUGUCAGGACCUAUGAUCAAGCAGUAGAUUGAGAGAAUUUUUUUGUUUUGUUUUUCAUCAUGAUCCACAUCUAGUGGAGUUAUGCAAUCUGAUUUGCUGGUAAAAUGUGACUUUGGUAUGAUCAAAGGUUCUGGACUGAGGCUUGAUUCUGGUUGAUUGAUUGCUUGUGUUGAGUGUGUCUAUUCUGUCUUUUGCUUCAAGUGCACAGAUUGACAUGUCAUGGGCACAAUUUUACAUUUGUAAGCCUUGCACACAUAGCCGACAAACUUUUCAUAGUCCUGCAUUUCAUACAGACAAAAGUUAAGUUUGAUUCAGAGAGAGUGAGGGACGAAAAAAAGGGGGAGAUGGAAAAAAGUGGGAUCUGAGAGGGAAGAAAGAGGACCAACAUUUCUAAUAGGUUGAUUAUUUAGAACCAGCCAUGAUACAAACUCUAGAGGUGGAUUGAGGUGCAUAAUUUCAUUGCCAUAGUUUUGUUCAAGCUGCAGUAGUCCAACAAUGUCAAACAUAAUUGACAACAACUUAUUAACAUCAUAUAUUCUUUUAAAUAGGACUAUAGUAAGUAAAGCAUGAAACCUUUGUUGCAUUUGAACAAUUGUACCAAUCCAAAAUGUGUUUCUUAGGCAGUCUCAAUUGUAGCAAUCCCACUCCUUCUGCCUUCCCUCUAUGGCCAGAAAUUCUAUGCAGUAAAUCAAAGCAAAAUGCUAGUUCUGCAUCACAAAAUCAAAUUUCAAAUCGAUUUACUACUCAAUAAAUUGAUAACCUUUCAUCGAAACUCAUUUUUAUCUCACCACAUCAUGCAUAACAUCGAUAGCGCAUGAUUGUAGAGAAUUCAACUUGCACUGAUCUGGCCUAUGCUGUGAAAGUAUCACAUAAAGAACUUAUGCAUCACUUUAAUGAUUUUAUAAAAAUGUUGCAGAAACUUUGAACAAAUGAUAUUGGUACAAAUAGUGAUUAAUAUAAACCUGACAAAAAGCAGUGUUGUUGUUCGAUUUGUUGGUGUAUGCAUCACCCCAAGGAACCAAUCUGAGAUUAAUGAUGGUGAUGAGAUCAUCAUCGAAAAUCUUAGCAAGAUUUUUUACAAUGAAGGUAGCACAAGAUAUGCUCAAAGUGUCAUAGUAAAGUGACAAAGUAACUUUCUGAUUAGCAGCAAAACAUGGAAAUGUGAGCAAGAACAUUGAACAGGUAAUGAGACAAGUAAAGAAUAAUCGAGCAGAUGCCAUUUUUUGCAGUUAGAUCUGUUUCAUAAUUGUGCACAUCUGAUGUAGUAAUAGUUUCCCUCCUCUCUUUUAAUUGCUAUUGUUGGGUUUGGUACUCUGAUAUAAAUGAUGGCCAGGUCAUAAGCAUAUCUUUGGACAAGUUUAUGCAGAAAAUGAAUGCUUCUUGUUAAUUAUACAAUUUUGGGCAAAAAAAGUCAUCCAACCAUGUGAGCUAUGAUCAACUAAAGAGCAGCAGCAUCAGCAGGGUUAUAGAUCAAUGUCGCACCUACCUGCUACUAUUACUUUGCCAUAACUUAAUCAUCUCAAUCAUAAGUACAUGAAGGUGGCAGUGAAAAGCCUUCAAAUUUUGACAAGAAUAAUUUAGCAGUAACAAAGCAUGGAUUGAAAACACAAACAAAAGAUAAGAACACUAUCAGACCAUAAAACCUUAUAGGUCAGCUUCAACUAUGUCAUAUCAAUCAACAUUAGGUUCGAUUAGCAUAUGGAAUGUCAAUGUAAACUUUAUGCCACAUUGUCUGCUCCUAAGGCUUAAGAUGUAGAGUUUCUUCCUUGUUCUGCUAAACAAACUUGAGGAAUUGAUCUUUCAUUCCCAAAUGAUUCGGUCAGGAAUUUAUCAUAGUUCUACAUGGACAAAAUUGGUCAACAAGGGGACAAAGAUUGAGGAAAUAAGAAAUCCAAAAUAUGAUUAUUGAGAGACUAACAUCUGCAAGUGGUUUAUUAUUGACAACCAGCCAUGGCACAAAUCUAUGUGGUGGAUUAAGCUGAGCAGUUUCCUUUGCAUAUUUUGUUUCAAUCUAUGCAUCAAUGCCAAAUUGCCAAUCCGUGAAGAUUAAUUUUGUCAAGGCUCAAAUGAUGAAAUAGUUCAAAAACAUCAAGAACAAAGUCGGACUGAAAAUGAACUGACCUGAUUGCCAUAUCCACUGUUGUAGCAAUCGAUAGGAACAGUCCCUAACUUCAACAUUUCAAAGCAAUCGGCUCAUUUUUCGUGCUUGUUGUGCAAUGUGAGCCGCUCAACGCAGUGGAUGAAUCUAAAAUGUCGAUUCUGCAUCAUAAUUAAUCCACCGUAGUUAGUAACGAAACUAAAGUUUUAAGCGUCAUAUGCACAUGUUUGGGAUAAAGUCUGUAAAAUCUUUUCCUAGAGGCAUUGACAAGCUUUACCNNNNNNNNNNNNNNNNNNNNAAAUCCAUAAAUUACGUACAAAACAUAAUUAAACUGAUUAACUUUUUUUUUUUUUUUUUUUGAGAAAUUAAAUUUACUAAUCUUAUUACAAAAUGAAAGCUGAUUUGAAAAGUACCUCUGGAACAGAUUGAGCUGCUUCAGUAAAGCUUUCUUAAUCUGAAAUCAAAUGACACUAUUAGUGAAACACAACCCUAACAAAUCUGACAGACGAAACAAAUAUUAAUAAAUGUUAAAGUGUAGUACCUAUGGCUUGUCAAGAGAAAAAGCUAUCACAUUCUCAAGUUGAGUACGUUCAAUUGUGUGUACUCUCCAUAACAUACUAACACGUACAGUUUGUUUGAGACUUAUUCUUCACUCUAACAUCUCUAAUGAGGUUAGCAUCAGGAGUAAGACAAAGAUAGACCUCUUCAGUCUUCAUGCAUGCUUCAGUUCCAUAAGAUGUGGUUGCAUAGAAAAAGUUGUCUUCACUAUAUUCAAAAGGCUGAUUACUUCUUCUUCCAGCAGAUUUCCAUGGUAAAGGCCUUAGAUACAAUGCUGCACAAAGAAGGGAGACAAUAAGUUGAAAUAACUAUUUUCUACUUGCAAAAGUUUCCCAAGAAAAAGAAAAGGAAAGCUGAACGGUUUGAAGCAAAGUUGACCACAUACCUUAUUCCUUACUAGCCAACAACUGAGCUGUGUGUGUUGCAAUUGAGAAUUAUCCCAACUUUCUUCAGUACCUUUCGCCUAUGUACACAUGUCUUCUGUGACGACCAAACCUCUGUUCCACUUGAGGAAAUACCCUCACAAGAAUUCUAUACAUAGUUCCGUAAUACCAUAUCCUCCAUCUCUUGCAAAACAAAAGUGAUCCGAUAGCAAUACCCAACCCACAUGCGAAUCCAAUCUCAACACUGAUAACAUUCCAAUCAAUCUCAUCUCUAGAAUUUGGAUGACUUUUUUCUGGUUCCGGCGGUGACAACCUUGUUUUGUUUUCUUCGGUCAAGGGAGGCCCAAACAAACCUUUGUUUCCUUCAAAGGAAGAUUUUUGAAAUGUUGGAAAUUGAUUACUGCUCGGAAUUCUGCCCUCGAGUUGAUUGUUUGAGAGAUUCAAGAAUGAAAGGAAAGUGAGUUUUGUAAGCUGUACUGGAAUUUGACCACUCAAGGUGUUAUGUGAGAGGUCUAAAGACUCUAGCUGGCUCAAGUUGCUUAAUGAUGAUGGAAUUUCACCUGUGAAAGCAUUGUUUGAGAAAUCGAGGACAUGUAGUGAUUUGAGUUCUCCGAUUUCAUCGGGUAUAGAUCCAGUGAACUUGUUGUUUGAGAAGUCAAUGGAGGUGAAGAUUGUAAGUAUUUUUUCCAACUCCAUCUCUUGACCUUUGUUGGUAACUGUAACAGUAUCUUGAUAAUAAUCACUACUAGUUCCAUUUUUGUCAUGAUAUUGAAGGUAAUUGAGCUUUGAUGGGGCAUCAUCUUCAUUAGCCAUCAUUGCUUGCCAAGUUGUCAAAACUCUACCUGGUACAUUUCCACUAAAAUUGUUGUGAGCUAGGUCUAUAAUUUGAAGCAUUGGCCAAGUGCCAUUAGUCUUGGGACAUCCAACGCCUCCAUAAAACUUAUUGGAUCGCAAGACUAUGACAUGCAACGUAGAUAUGAUCUUCAAAAAGCAUGGAAAUGGACCUGUUAUUUGAUUCUUUCCAACGUUUAGAACUUGUAACUGCGGACAGUUGAUAAGUGAUUUUGGCAACUGACCUUGUAUCUGAUUAUCACUAAUGUCUAGUGUUUGCAAACUGCAAUUGAGAGACAACUUGGCUACAUUUCUAAGAUUGUUUCUCCUUAGCUUCAGUACUAAAAGGGUGCUCAUUGUAGUCAAGCAGUGAGGAACCGUUCCACUCAAGGAAUUAUUGGACAUAUCAAGAACCUCAAGGUUAUGUGAAUUGCAUAUUGAUCCUGGAAUGAUCCCUUGUAGGUUGUUGCUUGCAAUAAAGAAGAAUCGAGUGUUAGGAAGCAGAUCUUCAAUGGCAGUCGGUAUGUUAGUGCUGAAGUUAUUCCUAGAGUAAUCUAGAUAAUACAUGUUAGGUGACAAUGAAAUUGGGAUUUUCCCAUGGAGCUGGUUAGAAUGAAGGUCAAGGAAUUCUAGAGAAGUGAGAUUGAUUGUAGGACCUUCAAGAGUUUCUAGAGAGUUGCAUGAAAGAUUUAGGUCAGAGAGAUAAUCGAACCUCCAAAUCCAGUUGGGUAUAUUGCCCUGUAUUUGGUUAUCCGAAAGAUCCAAAUACACCAAUUGAGAUUGAUUUCUCAAGAAAUGAGGGAAUGUUCUUAACUUCAGUGAAGCCAACCCCAAGGAUUCAAAUUGAGGAAAAUAGGAGUGUGAGUAAUUGGUAGCAUCAUGGCUAAGAGACAAGCUAUUGUGUGAAAGAUCAAGAUAAGAAAGAUUUCUGAGAUGUUGAAGACUAUCCAGAAGAAAUGAGCCACUGAAAUUGUUUGAAGAAAGAGAAAGAAGUUCAAGACCCUGAAAGUCAAAGAUAGACAUGGGUAUUGGCCCUUCCAGAUUAUUUAUACUCAAAUAAAGUCGUUUGAGAAAGUAUGAUGAGAUAUUAGAAAUUUCAGGAAAAUGACCAGAGAAUUGGUUAUCAUCAAGAUAUAGAGUCUCUAGCAAGGGAAGAGAAAACAGAGCUGAUGGAAUAUUCCCAUUGAGCAUAUUUCCACCUAAGUCGAGAUAGGAUAGGUUAGAAAAGUUUUUCCAGGGGAUGCAAUUAAUAUUACCUGUUAGACCAUUUGAAAAGAGGUCUAUGCGCUCUAGAUUCUUGGCCCCACUGAAUGACGGAAUUGAACCUUCAAACUUGUUUCCAGACAUCUCCAAGUAAACCAAUUGCGUAAGGUUUGCCAUCGACUUGGGGAUUGAUCCUGUAAAAUUACAGCCUUCGAUACCAAUUGUGGACAGCAUCUUGAGGUUGCCAAUAGAGUUUGGUAAUGCCCCUGAAAAAUUAGUCCCCCAUAGAUACAGGUCCUGAAGAGAACCAUUUUUUGAGAAUUCUGGCAAGGAACCAUCAAGGUUUUCAUUUCUGGAAACGCUAAUCUUACGGAGGGAAGGUAACUGAAAGAUUUCUUUCGGAAAUGUUCCCUGCAGAUUACAAUCUGCGAGAUCCAGGGAUGUCAAGUUUGAAAAGUUGGCAAAGAAUGUCGGAACUGGAGCAGAGAUGUUGUUCGAGUCCAAUUGAAUCACAGAGAGGGACUGGAGCUUAGCAAGAGAAUCGUGGAAAGGGCCAGAAAGAUUACAACUGGACAAACUCAACACCCUAAGGUUGGGAAGGGAAGAUGAUAUGGCUUGGCACCACUCACUACCCCCUGCUGAUAUUUGGACAGAGUCAAGGUGCAACUCUCUAAGCUCUGUGAGGUUCUCUACCAGCAUGUGUAAAGUUGGGAUCUCAAGGGGAUCCCCCUCAAAGAAGAAGGAAGACAAUUUAGAAAUAUCAAGAACUACCAACCUCGUCAAGCGUGAGAUCUCAAUCGGAAUUUUCCCUGAAUAAUAAUUGUGAGAUAAAUUCAGAUACCUCAAGUUCAUGAGCUUCCCGAAUGCUGAUGGAAUUGAUUGAGAGUCGUUGCCAAGGUAGUUGUGUGCCAAAUUGAGGCUUUGAAGAUUUUGAAGAUGGAAGAGGCUGCUAGAAUUGUCAAUACCACCUGAGAUAGAUUCACUGCUGAUGUCAAGGCCCGAAACACUGUCAUUGGUGCUGCAAGUAACGCCGACCCAAGAACAACAAUCGGUACUUGAGUUCCAGGUAAUAAGCUUGGUGGAAAGAGAGGCGUUAAAUAAGAGGUCGCUCUUGAAAUGGAGCAAUGAUUGUUGCUGGUCUGGUAUACACUUGCUAUGGACUACAGGGUUGAUGAUGAUACUAACACAGAGCGAGACAAAGAAAAGGAAGAAAUGAGGCUGAUUAGUUUUCAUUUUGGAUUAGCAGAAAACUUAGUGGUUAUGUGAAGAAUUCUUAAUGGUUAUGUUGGCUUUUAUAAGGUGAAAGAGGAUAACUCAUUAACUCCUCUGAGAUUUGUAACCACUAGAAAUAUUAUGAUAGAAUGCAGAAGACUUUGGCCGGCCCUACAAGGACCAUGAGAGUCAGUCACACUGGAAGCUAGGCUCUGUGUUCAAACGUUUGUAUUGGAAAAUGUUGAAAAUUCUAUUAUAUAGAUAGUUCAUAGAACUGCUCGACAUGGACAAUACAUAUAUUUCGAAUGCCGAAAUUACUUAUUUUUCUAGUAAUGAUUUUUGUUGACAAGCUUAGAUGCAUGGUUAUGUGGUCAUGCAGACCGUAGUAGCAUAAAAGUUUAAGAAUUAUAUGUAGUGUGUUAUCUUUCACAUAUCACUUGGUUUUUUGAUCAUCUGUAAUUUGAGUUAUGUCAUCCGUUUGACGAAGAUGAGGUGACAUGAGGAUGCCCCUUCUUAUACGCCAAGAGGGGUAAUGAUAUUGUGGUGAUGGAAUUGGUCGCUUUCAAGGUUACUGUGGAAAGAGGCUACCAUGAGAUGUGUGGUUGUUGCAUGACUAUGAAGUCUUCCCCAUCUGCAGAAGGCUGUUUUCUUCAAUGUAAAUUUCCUACUAAUUUGAAUAUUUGAUGUAGAUGUUGAUACGGAAGCUCAAAAUAGUUCAUCAAACUGAGGCAUUGUUAAUAUGGAACCUCAAAAUAGUUCAUUAAAUCAGGUUGAAUGCAUAAGAGCCUCAGUUUUUGAAUUAUGUCAGUAAAAGCAACAAUGCCUCAGUUCAUCAGAAUUCAAAUAGUAGUUAAAAGUUUAAAACUCAGAUGCUCAGUGCUCAAACCCACUCCCACCUAUCAACCUCCUCUCCCUCGCCGACUCCUUCUGUUGGGGAUCAUGGCAUCAAUGUUUCAUCAGCUAGGCUAUUCUACUCUAGGCUAUUCACAAAAUCCAUGAAUGCCUCCUUCUCAACCUCAGUCAACUGCUCGGCCUCGAUUAGCUUAUCUCCUCAAGUUCGUCAAAUUUCCAAUCGAAUCGUAAGACCAGAGGCGCUUCCGGCUCCCUUGGGAAGAGUAUAUCAACCUCAGUAUCGAUCGGCUUCUUCGAAUUCUUCUCCUCCUCCUUCGGAUUCAUCAUAUACGGCAUACAAUACUGGAACUGGAACCAACGGUCCUCCUUCAUCUGCUUAAUGCUCGCCUUCCUCUGCGUGCAUCCCAGCACGAAAAUCUGAGGCAAGUUGGAACCACCAGACGACUUGGCUGCUCUCUCGGAACUCCAGCCUUCUCUUUGCUCCAGAGGAAUGUAAGGGAUCCAAUCCAUCUUCAUAUACCUCAUCGGAACUAUCACCUUCUCCUCCUCUUUUUUUUUCUGCACGGCCCUGACCGCAAUCUCCAUCGACGGCGGUCGAGGCGCCACCACCGCCACCAGAUUCGGAAUCAGAACCGUAGGAUCCCAUAUAUUUCUAGUCUCCUUCUUCUUCAAAUUCCGUUGAAUUUGCCUCCUUCUUCUUCAAAUUCCUUCUCGAGAUUCGAGAAAUCCCAGUCAUGUUGGUACACUGAGUCCAAGCGAUCCAACUCACGCAAAGUGUUUGUUCUGCAUUCACUUUUGUGUUGCCUUGAUCCACAAUCCGAUUGAUGUUGAAUCUUGUUGACUAUUAUAUCAGGACGUGUUGACAAUGUGUAUGGUGACCGCAAUCUCAUCUGCACUCUUCAACCAGAGCCAGUGGAGGAAGCAGCAGCAGCCACUGCUUAGUCUUCAGCUCGAUCCAAUCCUCGUCGUCGCCGCCAAAGUCCGGUCAUGAAUAGCCCAACUGAAUGCCACAUCUUCCCUUCCCUUCACAAAGAAAAGAAAUCAUCAUCUCCUUCCACAUUCCCACAUUGUAUAUAAUUUUCUCCGUAUCUAAAUACACGUACAGCUCGCCAUAUAUAGCUGGUGACAUUCAUUUCCCUAUUAUGAUGAUGACGAUUAGCUUUUCUAAUAACAGCUGCUGUUGCUAUUUGCAACUCAGAUGUUGUAAUUAUAAUUUUCGCUGGGUGAGGAGGUUGAUAGAGAAAGAGAGAGAUGGGUGAGGACGUUGAUCAUGAUCAAGCACUACUAGUACCAGUUCUUGAAUUUUCGAAGGAGUGUUUGGUCCCAAAGAAAGAGAGGAGUGAGGAAUGGAGAGCUAUGAGCACCAAAGUGAGAGAGGCAUGUGAGAGUCAUGGCUGCUUUCUGCUGUUGGUGCAGGAAGAGGUGAUGCCGAUGCGCUUACGUGAAGACAAGGUGAUGGCCAUGAAAGCUUUGUUUGAUCUCGCUGAAGAGACCAAGCAGAAGCACACAAUCCCCAGGGCUUACCAGAGCUACCAAGGCAAGUGCCCCAUCAUUCCCUUGAACGAAAGCUUGGGGAUCGACAAUGCAUGCCAGCUUGAUGUAGCUGAGUCCUUCACCAACCUCAUGUGGCCUCAAGGGAACUCUUCUUUUUGGUGAUUUCUCUAAUAAAUUUACACUCACAUUUGAAGUAGUUAAUUUCCCCCAUUUAUGUAUCUGUUCUCUUUUUGGUCCAAGUUUCUCCAUUUCAAUGCAAGAUAAUAGCUAGAUUAAUUAAUAGCUAUAGUAAUGUUGUUUUGCUAGUUAUUUGAGAUCUAAUCAAGCUUCUAACUGGGAAUCUAAAUUAUAUAAUAUAUUUAUGAAAGAAUUCACAUACAUACUAGACCGACAUCUAAAUUGAGAAUAAUCUCGCAAUUUAGGUUAUUAAUUUGUGUUCAAACAUGCUCUAUCAGCUAUUUCAGCUCUUGCUUUCCAAAAGUGAAGCUAGAGAAUUGUAAUGAGAGGUGGACGGUUUCGUUUGAGUGAUCCGGUGGUGAUGUAUUUAUACACUACAAUUCCUUAAUCAAUCAUGAUUGGGAAACUUUAUCGUAAUAGGAUUACAACGAGCAGAGUUACUUGGUUCUCUUAAUGAAAAACUCAUAAACAAUCUUAAUUCAAGUAGAUUAUACUCAAAAUUUCAAAUAUGAUUCCAUUCGGAGUAUUGAAUUAAUUAAGACAUUUUCCUGAAAUGAAACUUAGAAUAUGAACUCAAUCAAUAAUGACUUUCAAACGAAACCACUGAUUUACUUCAAACACAUUUUUUUGUAGUCUUAUGUACGUUACGACUUCCUUGUAUCACUACAUGAUGAUUUUGAUUGGUGUUGUUUGGGAUUUAGUUUCGGGAAGUCUGAUGAGAUAUAUUGUAUUGUGGAAUUCUGUGUUUCUAUAUUAGUUGUGUAUUUAAUUCUAGAGGUUGGCAUAUGACUUGAAGAUACUCUAAGCAUGCUGAGCAAGAAUGCAUGUAUGGCCAUGUUGAUUCUUGUUAGCAAUGAUCCAACUCUUUUAUUUGCUUACUAGUUGUCUCCGGAACUCUAUGUUACCUUUGUUCGAAUACUAAUAUGACAUACUCGAGCACCAAAAUUCUUGAUCCCAACAUGUAACAUACAUAUACAUUCGUACUCAUCAAAGUGCAGGCAUGUGAUAAUUGUUAACAAUCAAACUCAAAGAACAUUCAACAGAGGGACACGCUUUGUAAUUUGGCACAGUUUUACAGUUUCAACGUACAGAUGUGAAGAAAACUCAAUUCAUCAACAAACAUAAUCGAAAAAGAGAUAUACCGAUCCGACAACAUAUAUAAAACUCGACGGGAAAAAUCAUAUUCAUCUAAAUUCUUUUCAUAAGGCUGAAAUAAUCAACAACAAACAAUAUGAAAAAAUUCAAUUCAAUUCAGCAGGUAAAGCCAAACAAGCAAGGUCAGGUCUUCGAUUCCUCAAAUAAUCUCAUGCGCUUCUCCAUAGUAGAAGUUGAUGUACUUAGACUGGAUCUCUAUCACAGGAGGGUUUGGUGUUUGUUGUGGAUAAAUCUUGUAAAGCCUCAUGCUCUCAUAAUAGGCUUUCGCUUCCUGAUACUUUGGAUCCUCCUGCUCCUUCUCAUCUUGAUUAUUCGGAUUCAUCAAAUACGGCAUACAGAACAGGUAUUGCAUCCGACGUUCCUGCCUCAUCUGUGUGCAUACCAGCACGAAUAUCUGAGGCAAAUUCAAACGAAUGCAGGGAAACCAAUCCAUAUUCAUCUCACUCAUCGGAACUAUCUCCUUCUCUCCUCUCUGCACAGACCUGAACGCAAUCUCCAAAGCAAUAAAGCACAGAAUAGGCUAGUCCAAUAACAAAGGCUACAUUCCUGGAGGGGAAAAGGCUUUAUUCAUUUCAUGAUUCUGUUCCCUCAAUGCAGAUUUGUAAUCUCAGUUUCUUCUUUUUCUCCGAGUUCAUCUUGCCAGGAAAUUGCACUAAAGUGAGAACGUUGAAUUAGUACCAAAGACACCCCCCAAACGAGUCCUUCGGUAACGUCAUGAACAGGUGCUUUGAUUGCAUCUCAAUUGCUUACUGAAGUUAUUGGUCUACCCAAGCAAAUUUACAAACUUUGUUGUCUGAGAUAAUGGCUUGUGGAAAAGUGGAGGGACUGGAAGCGGAAAAUGUGGGAAGGACUUCAAGAGAAUUGUGGUUGGCUUGACUCUGAAGUCUGAAGUCUUCCCCAUGUCGUAGUCGGUGUGUUUCAUUAUUACUAAUUCCUAAAGCUAGGUUUUUGCGCGGGAGAAACCUCCAUGAGAUUUGAGCAUGGCUGGCUGGCUGGCAUGACUCGCCAGUCUUUUCCAACAUAUAGGUUUAUGCAUUGAAAUUGCCAACAAGUAUUUUUUUCCUUUAAUCAAAACUAAUCACAUGGUUUCUUUAAAGGUAUUUCACGUCCAAAGAAGAUAUUGUUUUAAUAGAAAUCACACGGUUUUUUUAAAGACAUUCUAGACCCAAAGACUAAGUCUUAUCAACGAACAUGAGUAAGAGGAUUAUUCACCAAUAGAACAACGAACGACUUGGUAAUUACUCAUAAACCGUAGUGCUGGUCGUGAUCGAGCAGAGUAAUGCAAGUGACUUCACUGACUUGUGUGAUAAUCUACUAAAAUUUUCUCAAGGAUUACACCAUUACAAUAUUUUGUCACUUAAUUUUCUUGUGGCAAAAGUAAUUUGUAACGACAAGUGGCCACAACAUCUGACAUCCACGACCGGGUUGGGAUUGAAAUCAGAAGUGACAGAUUUUGAGGGUUUGAAACUAACAUGGAUGUUGAUGAACCAAACAAAGGUACGCCCUUUCUCAAAACUCUGCCUUUUAACCCUAUCAGGGUCUUUGAUCAUAUAAUCCCUAACAGCUUUCCCACAUUUCCCCCAAAUUUACAGGGCGAACAUGAAAUGCAAGCAAAGCCCAUAAUUGUGAUCUUCGUCCCUAGGUUUGAAUCUGCCAGGUACAUUUGAUUAUUGUUUGAUAUCACAUGUGUUCGAUCAAAUGCCUCACAAGUUAAUGGAGUAUGCACGACUUGAUAAUGAGAACAAACUUGACAACUAGAGCACAUUUCUUUCACAUAUCACACUCACAUGCACAUAUAUAGAAGUUUGCCACAGAUUUAUUAGAAGAUGAACAAGCCAGCUCAACAUACAUGAAAGAUGCACAAGAAAGAAGCACAAAAAUUCUGAGCUGGUUCUAGUGAUAGAUAGGGUGCCUUGACUUCCAAGUCUUCCCCCAAUUUUCCAAAAAUUUAAACAGCCCACCAGAGAAAAACUGACUCGUAGUUAAGAGAUGUCCAGUGAUGUUACAGUGGUAGGGUAUUGAUCGAAAGGAACGGAUGUCCAGAAGUUCAACUUAUAAACCAAAAACUAGAAGAUAUUAGUCACUUUCACAAAAUCGGCUAUUCAAGCACUUAGUACACGGAAGCCCAUAUUAUAAGUUUCGGCUCAAGCCCAACUAAAGGCCCAAAACAGAUUGAUCCCCUCCCAUUUCCUGACUCCAUUUCCAAUCUUCGUCAAACCCCAGAGCUUCACACACCAAAGCUCUCAUCUUUCCUCCAAUGGCUUCCUUCAACCCAUCCGUAAACCCCCAAACCCACUCCCACCCAUCAACCUCCUCUCCCCUCGAGAACCUCCCUUGAACCUCCCUUAGACUUCAUCUCAAUCACAGGAGUGUUUGGUGUCUGUACUGUAUAAAUCUUGUAAAGCCUCAUACUCUCAUAAUAGCUUUUCGCUUCUUGAUACUUUGGAUCCUCCAUUAGCUUCUUCUUCGCUUCCUUCUCUUCCCUAAUCUUCUUCUUCACUUUCUUCACUUCCUCCUUCACAAACGCCAUGAACGCCUCCUUCUUGUCCUCAGUCAGCUCCUCGGCCUUGAUCAGCUCAUCAGUGUACUCCUCAACCUCAUCCAACUCCCAAUCAAACUGCACAAACAGCGGCGCUUGCGGCUCCCUCGGGAAGAGUAUAUCCACCACAGUAGUCUGCUCCUUCUCCUCCUCAUUCGGAUUCAUCAAAUACGGCAUACAGUACUGGAACUUCAUCCAACGGUCCUCCUUCAUCUGCUUCAAGCUCGCCUUCCUCUGCGUGCAUCCCAGCACGAAAAUCUGCGGCAAAUUCGAACCGGACUUGGCUCCUCUCUCGGAAUUCCAGCCUUCUCUUUGCUCCAGAGGAAUGUAAGGGAUCCAAUCCAUCUUCAUCUGCCUCAUCGGAACUAUCUCCUUCUCCUCUCUCUGCACAGACCUGAUCCCAAUCUCCAUCGACGGCGGCCGAGGCGCCACGACGGCGACCAGCGUCGGGAUCAGCACCGGCACCGACGGCGAAGAAGUCUCGGUCUGGCUGAAGAGGUAGACCUUGUUGUUUCCGAUGCCGUGGAAUUUGCCUCCUUCUUCUUCGAAUUCCUUCUCGAGAUUCGAGAAAUCCCAGUCGUAUUUGUAGAGUGAGUCCAAGCGAUCCCACUCGGUGCCGACCGGGAACGCCGCCUUCCAU